CGCCUUGCCAGCCCGCUACAGAAACUUAAAUGAAUUGACGGGGGCCCGCACAAGCGGUGGAGCAUGUGGUUUAAUUCGAUGAUACGCGAGGAACCUUACCUGGGCUCAAAUGUAUGUUGACGUAUUCUGAAAGGGAUACUUCUUCGGACAAUAUACAAGGUGCUGCAUGGUUGUCGUCAGCUCGUGCCGUGAGGUGUCGGGUUAAGUCCCAUAACGAGCGCAACCCCUACCUUUAGUUGCCAUCAGGUAAUGCUGGGGACUCUAAAGGAACUGCCUACGCAAGUAGUGAGGAAGGCGGGGAUGACGUCAAAUCAGCACGGCCCUUACGUCCAGGGCUACACACGUGCUACAAUGGCCGAUACAGAGGGCAGCUACCUGGUGACAGGAUGCAAAUCUCCAAAGUCGGUCUCAGUUCGGAUCGGAGUCUGCAACCCGACUCCGUGAAGUUGGAUUCGCUAGUAAUCGCGCAUCAGCCAUGGCGCGGUGAAUACGUUCCCGGGCCUU
This 504-nucleotide ribosomal RNA is filed under the name uncultured Sphingobacteriales bacterium. RNAcentral describes it as "bacterial SSU rRNA". It matches the Rfam family "Bacterial small subunit ribosomal RNA", at positions 903 to 1382 of the family's 1533-position model. The record is from RNAcentral. Lineage: Bacteria; Pseudomonadati; Bacteroidota; Sphingobacteriia; Sphingobacteriales.